UUCCGGUUGAUCCUGCCGGAGGCCAUUGCUAUCGGAGUCCGAUUUAGCCAUGCUAGUCGCGCGGGUUUAGACCCGCGGCAUAUAGCUCAGUAACACGUGGCCAAACUACCCUACAGACCGCAAUAACCUCGGGAAACUGAGGCCAAUAGCGGAUAUCACUCUCAUGCUGGAGUGCCGAGAGUGAGAAACGUUCCGGCGCUGUAGGAUGUGGCUGCGGCCGAUUAGGUAGAUGGUGGGGUAACGGCCCACCAUGCCCAUAAUCGGUACAGGUUGUGACAGCAAGAGCCUGGAGACGGUAUCUGAGACAAGAUACCGGGCCCUACGGGGCGCAGCAGGCGCGAAACCUUUACACUGCACGACAGUGCGAUAGGGGGACUCCGAGUGCGAGGGCAUAUAGUCCUCGCUUUUCUGAACCGUAAGGUGGUUCAGGAACAAGUGCUGGGCAAGACCGGUGCCAGCCGCCGCGGU
Molecule: ribosomal RNA, 468 nt
Filed under: uncultured archaeon
Lineage: Archaea
Description: bacterial SSU rRNA
Rfam family: Archaeal small subunit ribosomal RNA
Source: RNAcentral